RNAcentral lists this ribosomal RNA (237 nucleotides) under uncultured Staphylococcus sp. Its description in RNAcentral is "partial 16S ribosomal RNA". It matches the Rfam family "Bacterial small subunit ribosomal RNA", at positions 103 to 334 of the family's 1533-position model. Lineage: Bacteria; Bacillati; Bacillota; Bacilli; Caryophanales; Staphylococcaceae. The record is from RNAcentral.
CGGGUGAGUAACACGUGGAUAACCUACCUAUAAGACUGGGAUAACUUCGGGAAACCGGAGCUGAUACCGGAUAAUAUAUUGAACCGCAUGGUUCAAUAGUGAAAGACGGUUUUGCUGUCACUUAUAGAUGGAUCCGCGCCGCAUUAGCUAGUUGGUAAGGUAACGGCUUACCAAGGCAACGAUGCGUAGCCGACCUGAGAGGGUGAUCGGCCACGCUGGAACUGAGACACGGUCCAG